Molecule: small nuclear RNA, 185 nt
Organism: Lepus europaeus (European hare)
Lineage: Eukaryota; Metazoa; Chordata; Mammalia; Lagomorpha; Leporidae
Product: U2 spliceosomal RNA
Exons: 1
Source: RefSeq, a predicted model, not a curated record
AUCGCUUCUCUGCCUUUUGGCUAAGAUCAAGUGUGUGAGAAUACAUUCAGCUUCCUUAUAUUGUUAGAUAAUUGCUCAAGUUCUAGAAUUGCAGUUCUAAAUUUUUUUUUUGCUGUGCAACUGAAUCUUCCUUCCCUCCAUUCUUCUGGAAGAAUUUAAUGCAAAGCAAAUAAAGAUGACAACUU